This is a long non-coding RNA of Homo sapiens (human), 6433 nucleotides long. RefSeq lists it as uncharacterized. The record is from RefSeq and is a predicted model, not a curated record. Lineage: Eukaryota; Metazoa; Chordata; Mammalia; Primates; Hominidae. The transcript is spliced from 2 exons.
AUUGCACUCUAGGCUGGCCACAGAGCAAGACUCCAUCUCAAAACAAACAAACAAACAAACAAAAAUUCUUUGAGCUAUACAGCUAUGUCUGCUUUUGUGUUUAUAUAUGUCAUACUUGCAAAAAUUAUUAAAAUAUGAAGAUAUGAAGUCCUUGGCAGUCUGCGUCUCACAGAAAUAUAGGAUUGGUUUUCAGGAUUUAAAUACAAGCAAUCUUUUAAAAGUCUUUUAAGUAAUUAACUGAAAGGACAGUCUAAAUGAGGUAUAAUUAAGUCAAAUAUAUUGCGGAAAAAGAGUUGUAGCUGCUGUUGUACUGGAUGAAGACCUCUAUAUGUUCAAAAGUAUUAUUUAUUUAAAUGUUUUGGAAAUGGUUUGAAACAUCGAACAGUACAGUUGCUACACUAGGAAAAUAACGUAGGCAAUUCUCUUUCAACAUAUUUUCCUAAGUGUCUAAGGAUUUAUUUUCAGUUGUAAUGUAGUGAAAUUUUUGUUAAAUGGAAUUUGAUUUUUUAGUACACUAUUUUUAUAUUAAAGAUGAAGUUGAUUUGUCAUUAUUUCAUCCAUAUGUUUCUCUUUCUUUGAUGAGACAAAAUCUACAAUUUCAGUAUGUGUAUUUUUCAUGUCUGCAAAAUGGGUAUAUUACUACAAGUUCAAAAACUAACAUAAAACAGAAUGGAAAAUCAUGGAUAUUUCAAAUAUUAAACAAUGUCACCAUGGAUAAUUAUAUGAAAUUGGAUCCAUCCACAAUAUUUUCCAUUAUCAAGGACUGACAAUCAUGGAAGAAUAAUUGUCCAUAUAUUAUUUCCCUUGGACACUGAAUUUACUAAUUUAUGAUAUAAUUUUAGUAUGGGGAAGUGCUAGAGACAACUUUUGUUAAACUUUCUUCCAAAUCUAAGAUGCUUUCAUUAGAGUGUGCAUCCUCUUCUCCCCCUCUUCCUCCUCUUCCUCCCCCUCUUCUUCUUCCUCAUCUUUUGGUUUUGGGCAUUACUUCUAUUGGAAUAGCACUGUCUUACAGAGCAUACAGAGCAUGCAACUUGCAACAUAAACUAGCCCUGAGAUGAAGAUUCCUCUCCCAUUUUGUAUGCUGGAUAAUUCUUACAUAAGAGAUAAUGGUAUAAGUUUUAUAAGAUUAGAUAAUAAAAUCUAGCCUUUCUCUUGGUACAAACAUUUAUAUUCAUUUUUUAAACCAUAGAUUUAAAUAAGCAGCUUGAAAUUUAUUUUUCCGAAAAUCUUCCUAACAAUGUGUAUCAGGUAAAUGGUAAAUGAGGUGUAAAGUAGUUCUCAAAACUGUCAAUUUCUCAGUGAGGCAUGUGCAGUAGAAGAGUGUUAUUACUUCACCCAUGCAACUUUGUUACAGGAAAUUAGAAGAGCUAGGUCACUUUAGCUGUUUAACACCUGAAUUUCAUUUUGUGAUAAAUCCUUUACUCUUCUUGAAUCUCACCUGGUGCACAGGUAAUGCAAGGAGCAGAAGACUUACUACUUAGAGAAACUGUUAUUUUCUAUUGGUGCAAUAACGAAUUACGACAGCAACAAACUACUCCAGAUUUAGCAUCUUAGAACAAAAUUGUAUUAUCUCACAGUUCUGGAGGUGAGAAUUCCAAUGGCUGUCCCUGGGCUUCACUUAAGAUAUUGGCAGGGCUGACUGCUUUCUGGAAUAUAUAAGUAGGAUCCUUUUCCUUGCCUUUUUUGACUUCUAGAGGCUAUCUACAUUCCCAGGCUCAAGGCUUCCUUCCUUCACCUCCAAAGACAAUAAUUCUGCAUCUGUCUAAUCCCAUCUCUAUUAUCAAAUCUCUCUGACUAGAGCUGGAAAGGCUCUCUACUUUUCAAGAAUUCAUGUCAUUAGAUUGAGCCCACCUAGUUAAUCCAGGAUAAUCUCCCCUAUAUAGGUUCUUAACUUUAAUCCUAUCUGCAAAGCCUCUUUUUCAGGUAAGAUAUUUCAGGUAAGUAUAUGUUUUUCAGGUAAGAAUAUGUUUCAGGUAACAUAUUCAUUGGGUAUAAAGAUUAGGAUGUAGACAUCUUUGGGAGUGGGGGGACAUUACUCUGUCUACCACAAUAAGAAAGUGUAUUAAUGUGUUAUUUAAAUAUUGGGGUUCCUUUGAAGAUGAAGGAACACAUUAUGCAAAUUUUUAAAAUACUCAUUUGAAGGCAGUAUCUAGGGCACCAAGUAUCUAGGGCAGUAUCUAGGGCACAUGACCAGUCAAACUUCAUGUAUAAUGAACAAAACAACAGUGAAGUGGUGUUAUUACUUAGCAGGAAGAAAAGGCCAUUCAGGUUUUUAUUCUUUAGUGUAUAUUACCCGGCGGUGAUGUCUUUUGCUUGCCUCCCAAGGUGUGAAUUCCUUUCAUGUAUGUAGGUAUUUGUGAUCAUGAAGACUAUUGAUGAAAGACUAUGAUGAAGACUGUUUCCCACCUUUCCUUAUACACUGUAAGUCCCCCUCUCUACUCCCUGGCAGGCAGAUUAUGGCCAUAUAAUCUACACUCUGCCAGCCCAAUGUGCCCAUGCCAAAUGCCUGUUGGCCAGUUCACUGGUAAUGUAUCAGUGCCCUCAGAUAAGUUCUGCAUCAUGACCUGAAUGUGGGUCCUACAGCCCAGUAUCCCUUGUGUGUGUGUGUGUGUGUGUGUGUGUGUGUGUGUGUGUGUGUGUGUGUGUGGUUUGUUCUCUACACUGUUGAUUCUAAGAGCCAUCUGAUAUCCUUAAAUAAAUUGCAUCCCUGACUACACAAGCCAGCAUAAGGAACUGCUAUUUACAAACAAGAAUGCAUAUCUGAGCCUGUGUCUUCUUGUUCCCAAACUCAAGGAAAUAAGUGAUUUAGCAGAAACUAAUAAAAAACUUGGAUCUACUGAUAUUUUAAUCUGUCUUGAAUAUGUAUUUUGUUAUUUUAAUCACCAAAAAUCUGGUAAGGGAAUUAUGUUACAGAGAGAAUUUAAUAAUAACUGUUUCAAAUGCCUCAUGUUCUCACUUAUUCGUAGGAGCUAAGCGAUGGGUACACAUGGAUGUACAGAGUGGAAUGAUGGACAUUGGAGACUGUAAAAUUUAGGAGAGUAGGAUGGAGGUGAUAGAUGAGAAAUUACCCAUUGGGUACAACUUAACCGAUUCAGGUGAUGAUUACACUAAAAGUCCAGACUUCACCACAACACAAUCUAUUCAUAUAACAAGAAUGCACUUGUAGCCCCCAAAUCUAUAAAUAUUUUGAAAGGAAAAAAAAUAGCUUGUAAGUUAGAGGUUAUGUAUGUAUGAUUAUUUUUAAAGUAAAACAUGAGUCCAGAUAUUAAAACCCUUGGUAUCAUGGUGCAUUAAAUUAAAGGAAAGUAAGUAUGCUGGUUUGAUUUUUAUAUCUAACAAUGAAAUGAAUUAAUAAAAAUAACUCCAUUUGAAAGUCAGAUUGCUAUAUUUUAGACAGCCGGGAGAAUGGAGACACUGCUAAUACUGAUUUUUUUGAGCACAGUGUAAGUGCAGCAUAAGAAAUUCUCUUGGUGAUGGAUGACAUGCAAACUGAAUAGCAAUUUUAAAUAUUGUAUUAGAGAAAAUCAUAGAAAGGUACCCUUACUAUUUAAUUGCUAUUUCAAGUGGUUGUUUGCUUGUUUCUUUUUGUUUCCACCCCAUGCCCCAUAAAUGUUUCCAUAAGUUGACUAAGUCUGUACUCAUUAGCACAUGAACCAGGGACUCCAGUUCCUCACUGUAGUGGGUGUCCCAGUCUAAAAUAAAGUCUUUUUAAAGAAGAUGGUGAAAAAGGGAGCAGAGGUAGAUAGUGAAAUACCAUGUUUGAAACUAUAAAACAUGUCAAAUUUGUCAAGUUUGAAUAAAAGUAACUUCAUUUGUAUGUUUAUAUUUUUAAGGCAAAUGAGAAACACAUCUACAAUUAGAGUCAUCAACACUAGUCCUACCAAAGCAGUGUAAGCUUCUUAUCUGGGCUUUUAAAUGUGUGGCCAAAUGGUUAAGUCCGGUGACAGAAUAACAGUCGAUCAGUCAAAAUCUGAUACUGUUACCUAGGUAUGCCAACGAUGCUAAGAAGAAUAUGUGCAAAAGUAAAGAGGAGAGAAAUCAGAAAGAUUUAAGUGAAGAGAAUGAUCUGUUCAAGAUGGUGGUGAAUAGGACACCAACAAGUAGAUGUGUAAUGUAGCAUGAAGAGCACAAGUGGGUUGAUUUGAAAAUCUAGAAGAGUUAAUAUUCAAAACAGGGGUGGAGUGGACAGUAGUCUAGAAAACACAACUUUUAGAAUUAAAUGUUAAAAGAAUAAUUCUAUUAUUUUAGAAAGUAGGAAGGGGUCAGUUGACCAUUGUGCAGUCAAUACUACCAAUAGAAGUUGUCUUUUUUUCAGUGAGUUUUCCCAUUGAUGUUUGAUCAUUAACCCAUUUUAAAGUGGGUCAUUUUCUGCAUCACAGUUCAGUGACUGUCAGUGAUUCUCAAGCUGUCACCACGCACUUAAUAGGAAACAAUUUCGUUAGACCAGACAUGUGAGCAGUAAGUUGAUAUAGUCUGAACUGAAAUAUAGAAUGAGAAGGUGACAUGGCUUGACUCUAUGUUUCCACCCAAAUUGUAUGUGAAAUUGUAAUCACCACAUGUUGAAGGAGGAGCCUGGUGGAAGGUAAUUGGAUCAUGAGGGUGAUUUCUAAUGGUGUAAUACCAUCCCCUUGGUGCUGUCUCAUGAUAGAGUUCUCACGAGAACUGGUUGUUUAAACAUGUGUGGUACCUUCCCCUUCUCUCUAGCUCUCUCUCUUGCCACGAUGAGAAGAAGGUCCUUGCUUCCCCUUUGCUUUCCGCUGUGACUGUAAGUUUCCUGUGGCUUCCUGUUAAACCCCAAAAAUGGGGAUGUAGGAAAUGAGGGAAUUACAAGAAGAGCCAACUGGAAACUUUGCAUAGAAACAAUACACACAAAAUCCGGGCUCAUGUUUUCCUUGGGGUAAAUAUAAUUCAUAUCUUUCAAAGCAUUAAAAGAGUUUUUUGGGUUUUAUUUUUGUUUGUUGGUUUGUUUUUUGGUAACAACAAUCAUAUUUGAAUGCUAACACCCGGGCAUUUUUAACAGUUGUGUCUUUCUCUUUUAAAAUGUCAGUUAUGAUAGUGAAUGUGCUCUCACAGAAUAAGGUGGUGGUGAAAAAUAUAUUCAGUGUCCCCAAUUAAUGGAGACACAAAUUAAUCAUCAGUUAUCAGUAUGGAUCUUUUAAGUUCAUGGAAAUGCAUAUUCUGCACUUGGAAAAUAAUAAUUCUUGAAAUUCUUGAAAUGUGUAGCAGUUCUAGGUAAUUGCAUUUUUGGAUUCAAUUAUUUGAAGAAGGAUAAAUAAAAUUUUAGAAAUUUUAUUGAAGAAUAAUUCUGUGAGCCAUCUUUUCUUUUCUUUUUCUGGGGCAGUAAUAGUAUAGUGCACUUUAUAUGCAUUAGUCAAAUAUCUGUUCUUUUUAAUAAUAUGAAACAUGGCUAAUGUCUUAAAAAAUACUCAUGUGAGAAAACCCUCGACUCUUUCAGAAAGAGGUUGACAUAUACACACAACGUGCAUAUGAUACAUUUACUUAUUUAUUCAAAAGUACUUAUUAAAUGCUAAUUCCAGGCCAGUGAUUAUUGUAAUUACUCAACAGACAGAGAAGUUCUCUGCUUCUGAGGAGUUUACAAUUUGGUGUGCAAGACUGUGUGGUGGAGAUAAUCUGUGAUUUAUCUGUUUUUGCUGAAACUGCAAAACAAUCAGCUUCUGGAUGCCAAGCAUCUCCUCACACCAUCUCCCCAGGCCUUGCUGUAGGCAUACACCUAGCUAGCCUUUCUAAAAAUAUAUUUUAAUUGAUCUAUGUUAAAAAAAUCUUUAGUUUCUUUCUUUCAUGCACUGACCAAAAUCCAAACAUUGUUAUUCUGGAUUUAAGACCUUUUCAAAUCUCAUUACAAUUUACCUGUCCUCUGACUACCUUCCUUUCCAGCCUGUUACCUACAUCCCUUUCUUUAUAGUACAUACCACCAUCAGACAUUACUUUAUUUAUCAGAAUGAGGCUUUUAAGGACAUAGUCUUGGUUUAUGUUUUUCUUCUCACCACUUCCCAGUAACUAGGACAGGAUUAGACAGUUAGGUAAGGCUCUAUCAAUGUGCCACAACUAAAACUUACCCUCCAGGUGGCUAACUGUUGUUUUUGAAAGCACUUUAUACGUUUCCAUCUGAACUUUGUGUACGUUCUGUCUGCCUGGAAAGCAUUUCCAGCAAUUCUCACCUCGUUGUUUGUAGUGAAUUGUUCAAACUCCUUGUCUGCUUUCUAUCUCCUGCCUGUACACUGACUGAUACAGGUGGGUAAUGAAGAUUUUUCCUCAAAAACGAUGGUUUUCAAGAUUGGAUUAAGUGGAGAUAAGGUUUGUUAGCUAACUCGUAUAGCUAUUUCUCAUUAAAUAGUGUUUCUCUUGCACGUUUUUACUCAGAAACUCUCACCAAACAAAAACCCUUCCUUCAUUUUUUUUGUAUGAUCUUACC